GAUGAACGCUGGCGGCGUGCCUAAUACAUGCAAGUCGAGCGAACAGACGAGGAGCUUGCUCCUCUGACGUUAGCGGCGGACGGGUGAGUAACACGUGGAUAACCUACCUAUAAGACUGGGACAACUUCGGGAAACCGGAGCUAAUACCGGAUAAUAUAUUGAACCGCAUGGUUCAAUAGUGAAAGACGGUUUUGCUGUCACUUAUAGAUGGAUCCGCGCCGCAUUAGCUAGUUGGUAAGGUAACGGCUUACCAAGGCAACGAUGCGUAGCCGACCUGAGAGGGUGAUCGGCCACACUGGAACUGAGACACGGUCCAGACUCCUACGGGAGGCAGCAGUAGGGAAUCUUCCGCAAUGGGCUAAAGCCUGACGGAGCAACGCCGCGUGAGUGAUGAAGGUCUUCGGAUCGUAAAACUCUGUUAUUAGGGAAGAACAAAUGUGUAAGUAACUAUGCACGUCUUGACGGUACCUAAUCAGAAAGCCACGGCUAACUACGUG
This 497-nucleotide ribosomal RNA is filed under the name uncultured bacterium. RNAcentral describes it as "partial 16S ribosomal RNA". It matches the Rfam family "Bacterial small subunit ribosomal RNA", at positions 28 to 507 of the family's 1533-position model. The record is from RNAcentral.